This 497-nucleotide ribosomal RNA is filed under the name uncultured bacterium. RNAcentral describes it as "partial 16S ribosomal RNA". It matches the Rfam family "Bacterial small subunit ribosomal RNA", at positions 28 to 507 of the family's 1533-position model. The record is from RNAcentral.
GACGAACGCUGGCGGCGUGCCUAAUACAUGCAAGUAGAACGCUGAAGCUUGGUGCUUGCACCGAGCGGAUGAGUUGCGAACGGGUGAGUAACGCGUAGGUAACCUGCCUGGUAGCGGGGGAUAACUAUUGGAAACGAUAGCUAAUACCGCAUAAGAGUAGAUGUUGCAUGACAUUUGCUUAAAAGGUGCAAUUGCAUCACUACCAGAUGGACCUGCGUUGUAUUAGCUAGUUGGUGAGGUAACGGCUCACCAAGGCAACGAUACAUAGCCGACCUGAGAGGGUGAUCGGCCACACUGGGACUGAGACACGGCCCAGACUCCUACGGGAGGCAGCAGUAGGGAAUCUUCGGCAAUGGACGGAAGUCUGACCGAGCAACGCCGCGUGAGUGAAGAAGGUUUUCGGAUCGUAAAGCUCUGUUGUAAGAGAAGAACGAGUGUGAGAGUGGAAAGUUCACACUGUGGCGGUAUCUUACCAGAAAGGGACGGCUAACUACGUG